Molecule: small RNA, 860 nt
Filed under: Pongo abelii (Sumatran orangutan)
Lineage: Eukaryota; Metazoa; Chordata; Mammalia; Primates; Hominidae
Description: processed transcript
Source: RNAcentral
GGGAAGGCAGUUCCUCAAAGUUGGACGUAGAGCUACCAUGUGACGCAGCAUUUCCACCCUGAGGGGACACUCAGAAGACAGAGGCAGAUCCCCAGUGACAUCUCUUUCCUGUUGGGGUUUGCUUUUGUCACAGUCUCCAAUAGAGGUCAUCGUUCCUGGUGCCAGACCAGCUACGAUAUUACCAUACAUGUAGCAUUUUACCCGUGCUGGUAUAGAGGACUCUAAGAAGUGGGGCAUGCUGUUUCUGGUGAACCAGCUGUUUAAAAUCUACUUCAAGAUCAACAAACUCCAUUUAUGUAAACCGCUAAUUAGAGCAAUUGACAGCUCAAACCUGAAAGACGAUUACAGCACUGCACAGAGAGUAACAUACAAAUACUACGUUGGACGCAAGGCCAUGUUUGACAGCGACUUUAAGCAAGCUGAGGAGUACCUGUCGUUUGCCUUUGAGCAUUGUCACCGUUCUAGUCAGAAGAACAAAAGGAUGAUUCUGAUCUAUUUGCUUCCAGUAAAAAUGCUAUUGGGUCACAUGCCCACUGUGGAGCUCCUGAAAAAGUAUCACCUGAUGCAGUUUGCAGAAGUAACCAGAGCUGUGAGCGAGGGCAACCUGCUGCUGCUGCACGAGGCGCUGGCGAAGCACGAGGCCUUCUUCAUUCGCUGCGGGAUCUUCCUCAUCCUGGAGAAGCUGAAGAUCAUCACCUACAGGAACCUCUUUAAGAAAGUGUAUUUGUUACUGAAAACACACCAGCUCUCUCUGGAUGCUUUUCUGGUUGCCCUGAAAUUCAUGCAGGUGGAGGACGUGGACAUUGACGAAGUUCAGUGUAUUCUGGCUAACUUGAUAUACAUGGGCCACAUCAAAGGCU